GGGGUUGUGGCUCAGUGGCAGAGCGCUUGCCUAGCAUGUGUGAGGCACUGGGUUCAAUUCUCAGAACCUCA
RNAcentral lists this transfer RNA (71 nucleotides) under Marmota monax (woodchuck). It matches the Rfam family "tRNA". From Rfam's summary of the family: Transfer RNA (tRNA) molecules are approximately 80 nucleotides in length. Their secondary structure includes four short double-helical elements and three loops (D, anti-codon, and T loops). Further hydrogen bonds mediate the characteristic L-shaped molecular structure. tRNAs have two regions of fundamental functional importance: the anti-codon, which is responsible for specific mRNA codon recognition, and the 3' end, to which the tRNAs corresponding amino acid is attached (by aminoacyl-tRNA synthetases). tRNAs cope with the degeneracy of the genetic code in two manners: having more than one tRNA (with a specific anti-codon) for a particular amino acid; and 'wobble' base-pairing, i.e. permitting non-standard base-pairing at the 3rd anti-codon position. Lineage: Eukaryota; Metazoa; Chordata; Mammalia; Rodentia; Sciuridae. The record is from Rfam by way of RNAcentral.